Molecule: ribosomal RNA, 253 nt
Filed under: uncultured bacterium
Lineage: Bacteria
Description: partial 16S ribosomal RNA
Rfam family: Bacterial small subunit ribosomal RNA
Source: RNAcentral
UACAGAGGUCUCAAGCGUUGUUCGGAUUCAUUGGGCGUAAAGGGCGCGUAGGCGGCGGGGUAAGUCGGGUGUGAAAUCUCAGGGCUCAACCCUGAAACUGCACUCGAUACUGCUUUGCUUGAGGACUGGAGAGGAGACUGGAGUUCACGGUGUAGCAGUGAAAUGCGUAGAUAUCGUGAGGAAGACCAGUGGCGAAGGCGGGUCUCUGGACAGUUCCUGACGCUGAGGCGCGAAGGCCAGGGGAGCAAACGGG